AUGUUCUCAGGACCGCACCUGGAGAGUUUCCAGUCCUCUAUCAGUCUCGACUAUGGGAAGGAGAGCCAAGCAGAGGCAUAUCCAUUCCAUUCCUAGCUUGGACAGUGGCUAGCGAGAGGAAGUCCAUCUGCUACAAGU
This is a non-coding RNA of Ornithorhynchus anatinus (platypus), 138 nucleotides long. The record is from Rfam. NCBI's taxonomy places the organism in Eukaryota, Metazoa, Chordata, Mammalia, Monotremata, Ornithorhynchidae.